RNAcentral lists this ribosomal RNA (864 nucleotides) under uncultured Fusobacterium sp. RNAcentral describes it as "bacterial SSU rRNA". The stretch from base 1 to 703 matches the Rfam family "Bacterial small subunit ribosomal RNA". Lineage: Bacteria; Fusobacteriati; Fusobacteriota; Fusobacteriia; Fusobacteriales; Fusobacteriaceae. The record is from RNAcentral.
AUUGAACGCUGGCGGCAGGCCUAACACAUGCAAGUCGAGCGGUAGAGAGAAGCUUGCUUCUCUUGAGAGCGGCGGACGGGUGAGUAAUGCCUAGGAAUCUGCCUGGUAGUGGGGGAUAACGUUCGGAAACGGACGCUAAUACCGCAUACGUCCUACGGGAGAAAGCAGGGGACCUUCGGGCCUUGCGCUAUCAGAUGAGCCUAGGUCGGAUUAGCUAGUUGGUGAGGUAAUGGCUCACCAAGGCGACGAUCCGUAACUGGUCUGAGAGGAUGAUCAGUCACACUGGAACUGAGACACGGUCCAGACUCCUACGGGAGGCAGCAGUGGGGAAUAUUGGACAAUGGGCGAAAGCCUGAUCCAGCCAUGCCGCGUGUGUGAAGAAGGUCUUCGGAUUGUAAAGCACUUUAAGUUGGGAGGAAGGGUUGUAGAUUAAUACUCUGCAAUUUUGACGUUACCGACAGAAUAAGCACCGGCUAACUCUGUGCCAGCAGCCGCGGUAAUACAGAGGGUGCAAGCGUUAAUCGGAAUUACUGGGCGUAAAGCGCGCGUAAGUGGUUUGUUAAAUUGGAUGGGAAAACCCCCGGGCUCCCCCUGGGAACGGGUUUUAACUGGGUGACUAAAGUUGUGAAGGGUUGUGGCAUAACCCGUUAGGGUUAAAGAGCUGACCCAAAAGGGCCCCCUGGGGAGAAGAAAAACCUUUUACUAAUGUUAAGAUGGGGGUUGGAAGGCCCGGGAGGAAUAAUUAAUACUAGAGCUACAGUAUACUAAGGAGAAAUGAUAUGUGGGUAUGAAGGAGAGAACACACCUCUCCGGGACGCAAUAAACACAACAAUCACAUUUUUACCAGAGUGCGAUACCAACCUG